UGUUGAUGUGUGCAAGGGUCCCUGGUUCGAGCCCGGGUUGAGGCGAAGAGAGGGACGGAACCUACACUGUUACACGUGCAGGAGUUGGGUACUGUGCUGGAGGAGUGUAUCGAGGAGGUGGUGAGAAUGGAGAAGCGACGGGGUGAACUGAUGGGAGAGCUGCAGGCACUAAGAGAGGAGAAGACGGGACAGAGGAAGGGAGUGAAGGAGGGCAGGCGGCACAGUUAAGGCAGCUGCUGAAUAUUGAGGCAGAUGGGAGGAGGGAGGCGCAGAUGAGGGAGUGGCAGUCUGAGGGCUGAGAGGAGUGAGGAGGAGGAGGAGAGGAGGCUGUCCAGUGUGCGUCUGGAGAGGCAGUGUCUUCAGGAGGAGAUGAGGAGGCUGAAGUGGAGGCUGUUCUCUGUCGCCAGUGAGUGUUCUCACAACCAGGUCAUCCUGGCAACCCAGCAGCGUGAGGUGGCCCAGCUCAACAAGGAACAAUGGAACUCGACACACUGAUCAUCCAGCUGACUGAGGAGGUGUCUCAACUCCGCUCCACCCACCAGACCCAGCUCUCCACCUUGCAGUCCCAGCUCUCCACCCACCAGACCCAGCUCUCCACCUUGCAGUCCCAGCUCCAGACACCCAGCCAGACACCCAACCCCACAGAGGAGAUGACCCAGAGCAAGAGGACCUAGUGUGGGGACAUACAGCAGUACCUGCAGGGAGGGCUCAAAGCCCUGGAGGAAAGGUAUGAGCCAAUGCUGCUGGCCCUGUUGAAGCGGAGAGGGAGAGGACGUCAGAGGCCCAGGUGAAGGCCAGGCAGCAGGCCCAGGAGUUGAGGGCCCACCGGGGGCCCCUGAGAGAGGAGGGACAGAGGCUGGGGCUGCAGAGAGCCUGCCUGGAGGAAAGACCCACAGGAGAGAGGACGUGGAGCAGUACAGGGAGACAGUGGACAGGCUGGAGGACACUAAUAGAGAGCAGAAGACAAAGCUACAAAUCCAGAAGAGGGAAACCAAGGAGUUGGAGGAACUGAGAGACAGACUUACUAAAAGAACUCUACCUGUACAGAGAUAUUGUCGAAGACAAUAACGAUAUAACCAGAGUGCAAGAGAAAACCACCGGAACAAAUAAAAAUCUUUCAGUUUAGGUUACAGGACACAAACAACCUUUUCUCAGUUCAUAGUUACUCCUUUCCAAAAAUCAUACCAUCCUUACAAAUGUACUUUAAUACACCUUUCAGAAGGUUCUACCCGAUUGUAAAAAAAAGAAAAAAAGAAAAGGAAGUAGAAAACCAGGAAGUAGAAAACCAGGAAAAAGCAAGGCAGUUUUGUACACUGGUAGCUGAAAUCUGCGGGGAAUUCCCAUCAGAUUGGGAAGGGUAUCUAGAGAAAACAAGCUCGUCAUCAUUCUCAUUCAAUAUUUAAAGACAUGGUAAAACAUCUGUAGAGAAGAAGAUUCUGGAACAGUCUGAAGAUAGAUGUAAUGCAUUCUUCAUAGUGCAACAAAUAAAAGGUGUCCUUUAAAACUAAACUGUGUGAGUGAUGAGUCAGAGCACAGGGACUUGUGUUCCAAAACGGCACCC
Non-coding RNA from Salmo salar (Atlantic salmon), 1561 nucleotides. The record is from RefSeq and is a predicted model, not a curated record. NCBI's taxonomy places the organism in Eukaryota, Metazoa, Chordata, Actinopteri, Salmoniformes, Salmonidae.